RNAcentral lists this ribosomal RNA (895 nucleotides) under Laccaria bicolor. Its description in RNAcentral is "eukaryotic LSU rRNA". It matches the Rfam family "Eukaryotic large subunit ribosomal RNA", at positions 66 to 944 of the family's 3401-position model. Lineage: Eukaryota; Fungi; Basidiomycota; Agaricomycetes; Agaricales; Hydnangiaceae. The record is from RNAcentral.
UAACAAGGAUUCCCCUAGUAACUGCGAGUGAAGCGGGAAAAGCUCAAAUUUAAAAUCUGGCAGUCUUUGGCUGUCCGAGUUGUAAUCUAGAGAAGUAUUAUCCGCGCUGGACCGUGUACAAGUCUCCUGGAAUGGGGCGUCAUAGAGGGUGAGAAUCCCGUCUUUGACACGGACUGCCAGGGCUUUGUGAUGUGCUCUCAAAGAGUCGAGUUGUUUGGGAAUGCAGCUCAAAAUGGGUGGUAAAUUCCAUCUAAAGCUAAAUAUUGGCGAGAGACCGAUAGCGAACAAGUACCGUGAGGGAAAGAUGAAAAGAACUUUGGAAAGAGAGUUAAACAGUACGUGAAAUUGCUGAAAGGGAAACGCUUGAAGUCAGUCGCGUUGGCCAGGGAUCAACCCUUGCUCUUUUGCUUGGCUUACUUUCUGGUCGAUGGGUCAGCAUCAAUUUUGACUGGUGGAAAAAGUUCAAGGGAAUGUGGCAUCUUCGGAUGUGUUAUAGCCUUUGUUCGCAUACAUCAGUUGGGAUUGAGGAACUCAGCACGCCGCAAGGCCGGGUUUUUAACCACGUACGUGCUUAGGAUGCUGGCAUAAUGGCUUUAAUCGACCCGUCUUGAAACACGGACCAAGGAGUCUAACAUGCCUGCGAGUGUUUGGGUGAAAAACCCGAGCGCGUAAUGAAAGUGAAAGUUGAGAUCCCUGUCGCGGGGAGCAUUGACGCCCGGAUCUGACCUUUUGUGACGAUUCUGCGGUAGAGCAUGUAUGUUGGGACCCGAAAGAUGGUGAACUAUGCCUGAAUAGGGUGAAGCCAGAGGAAACUCUGGUGGAGGCUCGUAGCGAUUCUGACGUGCAAAUCGAUCGUCAAAUUUGGGUAUAGGGGCGAAAGACUAAUCGAACCAUC